RNAcentral lists this ribosomal RNA (427 nucleotides) under uncultured archaeon. RNAcentral describes it as "bacterial SSU rRNA". It matches the Rfam family "Archaeal small subunit ribosomal RNA", at positions 474 to 903 of the family's 1478-position model. The record is from RNAcentral.
UACCAGCUCUCCGAGUGGUAGGGAUGAUUAUUGGGCUUAAAGCGUCCGUAGCCGGCUUAGCAAGUCUCCUGUUAAAUUCAGCGACCUAAUCGUUGAGCCGCGGGAGAUACUACUAGGCUAGGAGGCGGGAGAGGUCAACGGUACUUCCGGGGUAGGGGUGAAAUCCUAUAAUCCCGGGAGGACCACCAGUGGCGAAGGCUGUUGACUAGAACGCGCUCGACGGUGAGGGACGAGAGCUGGGGGAGCGAACCGGAUUAGAUACCCGGGUAGUCCCAGCUGUAAACGAUGCGAGCUAGGUGUUGGGGUGGCUACGUGCCACUUCAGUGCCGCAGGGAAGCCAUUAAGCUCGCCGCCUGGGGAGUACGGCCGCAAGGCUGAAACUUAAAGGAAUUGGCGGGAGCACCACAAGGCGUGAAGCUUGCGGUUC